UCAUAAUUCGAGCCCAACUCGCAGGAGGCCCUAUUUUAGCAGCUUCCAUCGCUAUACUUGCUCUCCAACUUAUCGUUUCACUAGAAAUUGACCCGUUAGAAGCCAAGGUAAUAUCGGUUGGGUUCAUUAAGGGUGGAGCAGCAGAGAACGAAAUGCCGGAGGAGGACCAAUUUGGAGGAACUUUUAGAACGUUCACGUCAGAAACAGCAAUCCUACCUUCAGCAAAGAAUGCAGGAGGUGAUAGAGACGCAAAGUGCAGUGAUGAAGGGAUGCUUGGCUAUGGUGGACUUCAUGGAAGAAACAAUGAGGCCUUAUCCUCCAACCAUAAACGACAGUGCUCUGUGUGAGCACGUGAAGAGAGUGGGAGAAGCUUUGCUGGGUAAGCCAAACGUGAAAGUAUCUCCAACGAUCAUGGCAGCAGAAGACUUCGGCUUUGG
Molecule: long non-coding RNA, 437 nt
Organism: Neltuma alba
Lineage: Eukaryota; Viridiplantae; Streptophyta; Magnoliopsida; Fabales; Fabaceae
Exons: 3
Source: RefSeq, a predicted model, not a curated record